AUUAGUCACGGUGCUCCGAUGAGGACAAACUGAGUAAUGUGAAUGAUUACAUCAUUGUACGUUAUAUGUAACAAGUCAUCUGCUCCAUCUGCUGAGGGACGGGAACAAAGGGGAACAUAAACUGCAGCCACACCGAGACUCAAGUGUAAACUGUAAGACUUCAGAAAAGAAGGAGCGUCUUUGAUGACCUUUGACCCCUGACCUCCCAGUGGUGGAACAACCCUUGAACUCUGCAAGAAGGAAACUGCAGAGCUGCAGAUGUGACAACAGAGCCCCAUUCUGCUGUCCAGCAACCUAACGCUGCACGGCGUGUUCGUGUGUGUGUUAGUCUCCUCAUCAUUAAUAGAGUUUGCUUUGUCACAUCUGGGACAAAACAGAACAAUAGAGCUGAAACACCAACAACACACACAGACAUUUCUGUAUAUUUUACUGUUUCUGUUGCAGGAAAAAGAAAAGUUCCUGUUUCCUGCUUCUCUCAGAUGGAACCAGAUUAUGAGUUUCUGCUCCUGGGAAGAUUAUUAAUGACAAAAGAAGGACAAAUAAUGAGCCGUUGUACCUGCAUAGGUAAGGACACGUUGUGUUCCCACGUUACCUCACAGCCACCGUAGUUUACCGACGUGUUCGGAAAGGAGGAGUGAAUGGAAGGGUCUCCCACCGCCUGCAAUCUACAACCUUACCGCAAGAUGCCCCCAAACCCUCCAACACCAAC
Molecule: long non-coding RNA, 709 nt
Organism: Gasterosteus aculeatus aculeatus (three-spined stickleback)
Lineage: Eukaryota; Metazoa; Chordata; Actinopteri; Perciformes; Gasterosteidae
Source: Ensembl